UACGUAGGGGGCAAGCGUUGUCCGGAAUCAUUGGGCGUAAAGAGCGUGUAGGCGGCUCGAUAAGUCCGCUGUGAAAGUCCAGGGCUUAACCCUGGAAAGCCGGUGGAAACUGUCGAGCUAGAGUCCGGAAGGGGCGAGUGGAAUUCCUGGUGUAGCGGUGAAAUGCGCAGAUAUCAGGAGGAACACCAAUGGCGAAGGCAGCUCGCUGGGACGGUACUGACGCUGAGACGCGAAAGCGUGGGGAGCAAACAGG
This 253-nucleotide ribosomal RNA is filed under the name uncultured Conexibacter sp. Its description in RNAcentral is "partial 16S ribosomal RNA". It matches the Rfam family "Bacterial small subunit ribosomal RNA", at positions 524 to 776 of the family's 1533-position model. The record is from RNAcentral. Lineage: Bacteria; Bacillati; Actinomycetota; Thermoleophilia; Solirubrobacterales; Conexibacteraceae.